RNAcentral lists this ribosomal RNA (398 nucleotides) under uncultured bacterium. Its description in RNAcentral is "bacterial SSU rRNA". It matches the Rfam family "Bacterial small subunit ribosomal RNA", at positions 29 to 414 of the family's 1533-position model. The record is from RNAcentral.
AAUCAACGCUGGCGGCGUGCCUAACACAUGCAAGUCGAACGCGAAAGUCCCGCAAGGGAUCAGUAGAGUGGCAAACGGGUGAGUAACGCGUGGGUGACCUGCCUUCGAGCGGGGGAUAACGUUCCGAAAGGGACGCUAAUACCGCAUAACAUCCUGCCUUUGAAGAGGUGGAGAUCAAAGCUGGGGAUCGCAAGACCUAGCACUUGAAGAGGGGCCCGCGUCCGAUUAGCAGUUGGUGAGGUAACGGCUCACCAAGGCAACGAUCGGUAGCCGGCCUGAGAGGGCGGACGGCCACACUGGGACUGAGACACGGCCCAGACUCCUACGGGAGGCAGCAGUGGGGAAUUGUUCGCAAUGGGCGCAAGCCUGACGACGCAACGCCGCGUGGAGGAUGAAGA